This 103-nucleotide microRNA precursor is filed under the name Marmota monax (woodchuck). The record is from RNAcentral. Lineage: Eukaryota; Metazoa; Chordata; Mammalia; Rodentia; Sciuridae.
AGUGGGAUAGCUGGGUCAAAUGGUGAUUUCAUUCCAAGUUUUCUAAGGAAUCUCCAUAUUGCUUUCCAGAUUGGUUGCACCAAUUUUCAGUCCUACCAGCAAU